RNAcentral lists this ribosomal RNA (330 nucleotides) under uncultured eukaryote. RNAcentral's name for it is "partial 18S ribosomal RNA". It matches the Rfam family "Eukaryotic small subunit ribosomal RNA", at positions 1470 to 1796 of the family's 1831-position model. The record is from RNAcentral.
CCCUUAGAUGUUCUGGGCCGCACGCGCGCUACACUGAUGCAUUCAACGAGUAAUCUUUGACCUUGGUCGACAGAUCUGGGUAAUCUUUUGAAAUUGCAUCGUGAUGGGGCUUGCGGGUUGCAAUUACCCGCACCAACGAGGAAUUCCUAGUAAACGCAAGUCAUCAACUUGCAUUGAUUACGUCCCUGCCCUUUGUACACACCGCCCGUCGCUCCUACCGAUUGGGUGUGCUGGUGAAAUGUUCGGAUCGGCCGUUUGUCGCGGUUUCCGCGUCAUGUGGCUGAGAAGUUCAUUAAACCCUCCCACCUAGAGGAAGGAGAAGUCGUAACA